This 252-nucleotide ribosomal RNA is filed under the name uncultured bacterium. Its description in RNAcentral is "partial 16S ribosomal RNA". It matches the Rfam family "Bacterial small subunit ribosomal RNA", at positions 524 to 776 of the family's 1533-position model. The record is from RNAcentral.
UACGUAGGUGGCGAGCGUUGUCCGGAUUUAUUGGGUUUAAAGGGUGCGUAGGCGGCUUGUUAAGUCAGUGGUUAAAUCGUGUGGCUCAACCAUACUUCGCCAUUGAUACUGACAGGCUAGAAUAUGUCCGAGGAUGCUGGAAUGAGUGGUGUAGCGGUGAAAUGCAUAGAUAUCACUCAGAACACCGAUUGCGAAGGCAGGCAUCUGGGGCGUGAUUGACGCUGAGGCACGAAAGUGUGGGGAGCAAACAGG